GAUGAACGCUAGCUACAGGCUUAACACAUGCAAGUCGAGGGGCAGCAUGGCUGAAGCUUGCUUCAACCGAUGGCGACCGGCGCACGGGUGAGUAACACGUAUCCAACCUGCCGUUUACUCCCGGAUAGCCUUCUGAAAGGAAGAUUAAUACGGGAUGGCGUCUUGAGUUCACAUGGAAGCAAGACUAAAGGGGUAACUUGGUAAACGAUGGGGAUGCGUUCCAUUAGGUAGUAGGCGGGGUAACGGCCCACCUAGCCCGCGAUGGAUAGGGGUUCUGAGCGGAAGGUCCCCCACAUUGGAACUGAGACACGGUCCAAACUCCUACGGGAGGCAGCAGUGAGGAAUAUUGGUCAAUGGACGGGAGUCUGAACCAGCCAAGUAGCGUGAAGGAUGACGGCCCUACGGGUUGUAAACUUCUUUUAUAAAGGAAUAAAGUGAGGCACGCGUGCCUUUUUGUAUGUACUUUACGAAUAAGCAUCGGCUAACUCCGUGCCAGCAGCCGCCGUAA
This 508-nucleotide ribosomal RNA is filed under the name uncultured bacterium. Its description in RNAcentral is "partial 16S ribosomal RNA". It matches the Rfam family "Bacterial small subunit ribosomal RNA", at positions 28 to 523 of the family's 1533-position model. The record is from RNAcentral.